GACGAACGCUGGCGGCGUGCCUAAUACAUGCAAGUAGAACGCUGAAGAGAGGAGCUUGCUCUUCUUGGAUGAGUUGCGAACGGGUGAGUAACGCGUAGGUAACCUGCCUGGUAGCGGGGGAUAACUAUUGGAAACGAUAGCUAAUACCGCAUAAAAUGGAUUAUCGCAUGAUAAUCCAGUGAAAGGAGCAAAUGCAUCACUACCAGAUGGACCUGCGUUGUAUUAGCUAGUUGGUGGGGUAACGGGCCACCAAGGCGACGAUCCAUAGCCGGCCUGAGAGGGUGAUCGGCCACCUUGGGACUGAGACACGGGCCAGACGCCAAAGGGAGGCAGCAGGAGGGCAUCUUCGGCAAUGGACGGAAGUCUGACCGAGCAACACCGCGGAAGUGAAGAAGGGUUUCGGAUCGUAGAGCUCGGUUGUAAGAGAAGGACGAGUGUGAGAGUGGAAAGUUCACACUGUGACGGUAUCUUACCAGAAAGGGACGGCUAACUACGUG
Molecule: ribosomal RNA, 497 nt
Filed under: uncultured bacterium
Lineage: Bacteria
Description: partial 16S ribosomal RNA
Rfam family: Bacterial small subunit ribosomal RNA
Source: RNAcentral